Molecule: non-coding RNA, 142 nt
Filed under: Crypthecodinium cohnii
Lineage: Eukaryota; Dinophyceae; Gonyaulacales; Crypthecodiniaceae
Source: RNAcentral
CAUCGAACAGCCAGCGCGAGAAGUCCUUCGAACGAUCAAGGAGCACUUCGAAGAGCUCUCCAAAAAGGCCUCCACGGCCUGGAGGGAGAGGAAUCUGAAGCACUUCAACAGCGACCUCGAGGCCCUGGAGGAGGCGGACAAG